CCUUGAAGAUCGGAGUGCUUGCACUCUGUGAAACAAGAUACAGGCUAGCGGCGGACGGGUGAGUAACACGUGGGUAACCUGCCCAAGAGAUCGGGAUAACACCUGGAAACAGAUGCUAAUACCGGAUAACAACAGAUGAUGCCUAUCAACUGUUUAAAAGAUGGUUCUGCUAUCACUCUUGGAUGGACCUGCGGUGCAUUAGCUAGUUGGUAGGGUAACGGCCUACCAAGGCGAUGAUGCAUAGCCGAGUUGAGAGACUGAUCGGCCACAUUGGGACUGAGACACGGCCCAAACUCCUACGGGAGGCAGCAGUAGGGAAUCUUCCACAAUGGACGCAAGUCUGAUGGAGCAACGCCGCGUGAGUGAAGAAGGGUUUCGGCUCGUAAAGCUCUGUUGUUGGUGAAGAAGGACAGGGGUAGUAACUGACCUUUGUUUGACGGUAAUCAAUUAGAAAGUCACGGCUAACUACGUGCCAGCAGCCGCGGUAAUACGUAGGUGGCAAGCGUUGUCCGGAUUUAUUGGGCGUAAAGCGAGUGCAGGCGGUUCGAUAAGUCUGAUGUGAAAGCCUUCGGCUCAACCGGAGAAUUGCAUCAGAAACUGUCGAGCUUGAGUACAGAAGAGGAGAGUGGAACUCCAUGUGUAGCGGUGAAAUGC
RNAcentral lists this ribosomal RNA (654 nucleotides) under uncultured bacterium. RNAcentral describes it as "bacterial SSU rRNA". It matches the Rfam family "Bacterial small subunit ribosomal RNA", at positions 62 to 689 of the family's 1533-position model. The record is from RNAcentral.